AGCGAACGCUGGCGGCAGGCCUAACACAUGCAAGUCGAACGGAUCCUUCGGGAUUAGUGUCGGACGGGUGAGUAACACGUGGGAACGUGCCCUUUGGUUCGGAACAACUCAGGGAAACUUGAGCUAAUACCGGAUGUGCCCUUCGGGGGAAAGAUUUAUCGCCAUUGGAGCGGCCCGCGUCUGAUUAGCUAGUUGGUGAGGUAACGGCCCACCAAGGCGACGAUCAGUAGCUGGUCUGAGAGGAUGAUCAGCCACACUGGGACUGAGACACGGCCCAGACUCCUACGGGAGGCAGCAGUGGGGAAUCUUGCGCAAUGGGCGAAAGCCUGACGCAGCCAUGCCGCGUGAAUGAUGAAGGUCUUAGGAUUGUAAAAUUCUUUCAGCGGGGACGAUAAUGACGGUACCCGCAGAAGAAGCUCCGGCUAACUUCGUG
RNAcentral lists this ribosomal RNA (433 nucleotides) under uncultured bacterium. Its description in RNAcentral is "partial 16S ribosomal RNA". It matches the Rfam family "Bacterial small subunit ribosomal RNA", at positions 29 to 507 of the family's 1533-position model. The record is from RNAcentral.